Dicentrarchus labrax (European seabass) is the source of this 648-nucleotide long non-coding RNA. RefSeq lists it as uncharacterized. NCBI's taxonomy places the organism in Eukaryota, Metazoa, Chordata, Actinopteri, Moronidae. The transcript has 3 exons. The record is from RefSeq and is a predicted model, not a curated record.
UUCCCUCUGGUUCAGUCCAGUUCAGAAACACAGAGGAUGUUGUGAUUUCAGUGGAAGUGAGAUUCGUGACAGCUUCAGGCUCUGUGAGUGAGAGGGGUGACAGAGCGGUCAAAUGGAUAGAUAAAGAGUCAAUAGAUUCAUCCUCUGGAGGCCAUGAAUGUUUGCAAAAAAUGUCAUUGCAAAACAUUAAGUAAUUGAGGAGAUAUUUCAGUCUGGACCAAUGUAGUAGACGGACAGACAGAUCAACAUUGCUGUGCUUGAAGCCUAUACAUGAAACUAAAAGGAAUGCUCCUGAAAUCUGCACGACACCAAAGAGACGUUCCAUCAACAAUAUCCAGAGCUACAACACAGAUCCAGCAAGUAAAGUACAGCUCAGAGUUAAAAGAUGAAAUCACUCCAGAGAGGUUUCUCCACCAGAUUUCCUCAGCAGACUUCCUGACAGUAUGAACCACAUGUAAAGGCUUACUUACUUGUGUAUCGAGUUACAGAUGUACUCUGUCCUUCAGUAAUGUUGUCAUCUGCCACUGCAGUAACAGUUAUUGUAUACUGGACACCAGCAGUCAGGUUAGUAAUAUGUAUAUGUGUUUGAGUCACAUUGUCACUCUCCUUUACAUUUCCAUCAGUCCACUGUACUCUAUAGAAAGAUCU